RNAcentral lists this ribosomal RNA (253 nucleotides) under uncultured bacterium. RNAcentral's name for it is "partial 16S ribosomal RNA". It matches the Rfam family "Bacterial small subunit ribosomal RNA", at positions 524 to 776 of the family's 1533-position model. The record is from RNAcentral.
UACGGGGGGGGCAAGCGUUGUUCGGAAUUACUGGGCGUAAAGGGCUCGUAGGUGGCCAACUAAGUCGGACGUGAAAUCCCUCGGCUUAACCGGGGAACUGCGUCCGAUACUGGUUGGCUUGAGUUUGGGAGAGGGAUGCGGAAUUCCAGGUGUAGCGGUGAAAUGCGUAGAUACUGGGAGGAACACCGGUGGCGAAGGCGGCUACCUGGACCGGUUCUGACGCUGAUGCGCGAAAGCGUGGGUAGCAAACAGG